GGUGGAUUGGCCGAGAGGAUAGGCAGCGGCCUGCAAAGCCGUCCACACCGGUUCGAAUCCGGUAUCCACCUCCA
This 74-nucleotide transfer RNA is filed under the name Aurantimicrobium minutum. RNAcentral describes it as "tRNA-Cys". It matches the Rfam family "tRNA". Rfam says of the family: Transfer RNA (tRNA) molecules are approximately 80 nucleotides in length. Lineage: Bacteria; Bacillati; Actinomycetota; Actinomycetes; Micrococcales; Microbacteriaceae. RNAcentral also lists the same sequence under 7 other names. The record is from RNAcentral.